AACACCCUGCUGUGUUCGCUUACAGGCAGAUAUCUCUUACCGUUUCCGAUAUCUCGGGAGCUUGAUUACGAAGCGGAUUCGAGACCCUUCGGGGUACGAUGAAUCUUCGGCUAGAGCACCCACCUCAUCUUUGGGGUUAAGAGAUUGAAGCCUCUACGAUCUUGGUGGGGUGUUU
This 175-nucleotide non-coding RNA is filed under the name bacterium E08(2017). RNAcentral's name for it is "6S / SsrS RNA". It matches the Rfam family "6S / SsrS RNA". From Rfam's summary of the family: E. coli 6S RNA was the first non coding RNA to be sequenced, but its function was unknown until recently. It consists of 184 nucleotides that fold into an extended hairpin structure with a large single-stranded internal bulge. The 6S RNA specifically associates with RNA polymerase holoenzyme containing the sigma70 specificity factor. The record is from Rfam by way of RNAcentral.